UGGGGAAUUUUGGACAAUGGGCGAAAAGCCUGAUCCCAGCAAUGCCGCGUGUGUGAAGAAGGCCUUCGGGUUGUAAAGCACUUUUUGUCCGGAAAGAAAUCCUUGGCUCUAAUACAGUCGGGGGAUGACGGUACCGGAAGAAUAAGCACCGGCUAACUACGUGCCAGCAGCCGCGGUAAUACGUAGGGUGCAAGCGUUAAUCGGAAUUACUGGGCGUAAAGCGUGCGCAGGCGGUUUGCUAAGACCGAUGUGAAAUCCCCGGGCUCAACCUGGGAACUGCAUUGGUGACUGGCAGGCUAGAGUAUGGCAGAGGGGGGUAGAAUUCCACGUNUAGCAGUGAAAUGCGUAGAGAUGUGGAGGAAUACCGAUGGCGAAGGCAGCCCCUGGGCCAAUACUGACGCUCAUGCACGAAAGCGUGGGGAGCAAACAGGAUUAGAUACCCUGGUAGUCCACGCCCUAAACGAUGUCAACUAGUUGUUGGGGAUUCAUUUCCUUAGUAACGUAGCUAACGCGU
RNAcentral lists this ribosomal RNA (514 nucleotides) under uncultured bacterium. RNAcentral describes it as "partial 16S ribosomal RNA". It matches the Rfam family "Bacterial small subunit ribosomal RNA", at positions 355 to 860 of the family's 1533-position model. The record is from RNAcentral.